GCCCGGAUAGCUCAGUCGGCAGAGCAGAGGAUUGAAAAUCCUCGUGUCGGUGGUUCGAUUCCGCCUCCGGGCACCA
This 76-nucleotide transfer RNA is filed under the name Vibrio cholerae. RNAcentral's name for it is "tRNA-Phe(gaa)". It matches the Rfam family "tRNA". Rfam says of the family: Transfer RNA (tRNA) molecules are approximately 80 nucleotides in length. Their secondary structure includes four short double-helical elements and three loops (D, anti-codon, and T loops). Lineage: Bacteria; Pseudomonadati; Pseudomonadota; Gammaproteobacteria; Vibrionales; Vibrionaceae. The record is from RNAcentral.